AGAUGUUGAUUUCAUUUGGAUCCUUUUCUUUGUUUAUUUGAUAAUUAAAUUUGAUACAUAAGGACCGUCAACAGUAUGCCAAGCAUCCAGUGCUCCAUUAAUGGAUACAACUUCCACAAGACGCUUUGCGACACCGGGUCGGGUGUCAACAUAAUGGCCGCAGUCACCUGUGAGCUCCUAUUCGGAACCAUGCCCCUAAAACUGACAUACAUUCAGCUCCAGAUGGCAGAUCAGACAUUCUGAAAGGUUGAAGGUAUAGUAACUGAUGUCCCUAUCAAAAUAGACGAUCAUUUUGUCCAUAUAGAUUUUCAGGUUAUUGACAUUGGAGAAGACGAGUAUGAUCCACCCAUCAUCCUUGGAAGACCGUUUCUCAGCACCGUUAAAGCAACCAUCUACAUUGGAACUAGAUAAGUCCACAUGCACUUCCCCUCUGAGAAGGUACGCCGCCAUUUUACUGACCCUAAUUAUAUAGUUGAAGACUCUAAGUAGGUCAGGACAAGAAGAAGACGACGCAACCGCAACCAGAAGAGGCAAAUCAUCAAGGACGGAUGGACAGACUACGAAAGAGAAGUGGUAAGGUCUGAAGACAUACAGCUUGAACAGAAUUGUCCUAAGGAGGCCGUAGCACUGAGUCAGGUGUGGAGAGAGAAGAUAGUUAUACACGAAGAAGAGGCGCCGCCGGAACCACCGACUACGCUAUCCAGCGAAUCCCAGGACAACUGAGAAAAUAGAGAGUCCCGUUCGGAGGACUUAAAAACGCCGAACGCCUUGCCAAGAGGUAAACUUGAUAGUUAUCCUUUUCCUUUCAAUUAUUUAAAAUAGUUUGCUCAAUUAAUCAUGUUCAUACUAUCCUAAAAAGAAAAUAAAAAUGUUAAAAAUAGUAAGCCCCAUGUCAGUAUACAAGUGGUAUAAAACCCAUAAGUACAUUCACUAUGGUGGCAUAAAAAUAAAAUAAUGAUAUUUUUCUGCUUUAUAAAAUAAAAAUAUAAAAAUAAGAUUGUGAUCCUACCAAAGAGAGUAAUAUUUAUUGAGGAGGCUCAACAUGAUAAAGGCUAGAUAUUUAUGCUAACACCUAAUCAGUUCCACAAAGCUUUGUUGUCUAUUUGAGCUCCACAGAAUUUAAGGAUCAAGCAGACUAGCAGACGGAGGACAUUCUAAUCGUUGUGAGGUACUGCCGACUUUCAAAUACACCUCUGCCACGUGCUAGCUACAUUAGAAGAAAUUACGUCAAAAUUCAGCUUGAGGGAGAGCACCCCCAUUUAUCCCGAUAAGUAUUUCUAUACUUAUACUAUAUUAAAAUAAAAAUAUACAUAACCAUGAAAAAACCAAAUAAAGAUUUUGUGCAUAUAUAUAUAUAUAU
Molecule: long non-coding RNA, 1360 nt
Filed under: Sorghum bicolor (sorghum)
Lineage: Eukaryota; Viridiplantae; Streptophyta; Magnoliopsida; Poales; Poaceae
Description: long non-coding RNA (SBIC_LNC004689)
Source: RNAcentral